RNAcentral lists this transfer RNA (75 nucleotides) under Candidatus Alcyoniella australis. Its description in RNAcentral is "tRNA-Thr". It matches the Rfam family "tRNA". From Rfam's summary of the family: Transfer RNA (tRNA) molecules are approximately 80 nucleotides in length. Lineage: Bacteria; Candidatus Lernaellota; Candidatus Lernaellaia; Candidatus Lernaellales; Candidatus Alcyoniellaceae. The record is from RNAcentral.
GCCCUCGUAGCUCAGGGGUAGAGCACUUCCUUGGUAAGGAAGGGGUCACCGGUUCAAUUCCGGUCGAGGGCUCCA